GGGUUCAGGGUUUGGGUUUUUGAGGUUUUUGGGGUUUUUGGGUUCGUGUCCCACCCACCUCGGGCCCGAAGCGGCGCUGGGCGAAGCUGUGAGCGCUCUCGUCCGGCCCCGUCCCCGGCGGCGUCAGCAGGUCCCGAACCCCGCUCCAGAGCAGGGCCCGGGAAAAGGGGGGGACAGCCCUGAGCAGACCCCUGGGGACAGCAGGGACAUUGGGGACAUUGGGGACAGCAGGUCCCGAACCCCGCUCCAGAGCAGGGCAUGGGAGAACGGGGGGACAGCCCUGAACAGAGCCCUG
Molecule: long non-coding RNA, 295 nt
Organism: Catharus ustulatus (Swainson's thrush)
Lineage: Eukaryota; Metazoa; Chordata; Aves; Passeriformes; Turdidae
Exons: 3
Source: RefSeq, a predicted model, not a curated record